GACUCUGAGUGUGGUCUGGCUGUGACAUCAGCAUCCCACUGAUUACUUGGGUUGAUUCAACUGAUUUGGCUGACUGGGUUUGGGUCUAUAUACUUCCUUCACAGCCCUAAAAGCUGUGCAUUGUCGAAGGAUGAUGACAUCCCUGGGGAGAACAAAACCACUUAAUUUUUGUCAAAAAGGAAAUGAUAUUUUCCUUUUAGCAUGUCUUGAUUAGACCUGUGACUAAAGGUCUGAUAGACUGCUUUAAAAUGAAAGGCAAAAUUGUUUAACCAAAAGUGGGUUCAAAUUAUAUUUUCAAUUGCAAAUA
RNAcentral lists this small RNA (307 nucleotides) under Microcebus murinus (gray mouse lemur). Its description in RNAcentral is "7SK RNA (ENSMICG00000025864.3)". It matches the Rfam family "7SK RNA". From Rfam's summary of the family: 7SK was discovered as an abundant small nuclear RNA in the mid-70s but a possible function has only recently been suggested. Two independent studies have found that 7SK RNA binds the CDK9/cyclin T complex (known as elongation factor P-TEFb). The record is from Rfam by way of RNAcentral. Lineage: Eukaryota; Metazoa; Chordata; Mammalia; Primates; Cheirogaleidae.